Molecule: ribosomal RNA, 803 nt
Filed under: Micrococcaceae bacterium ACEMC 22-5
Lineage: Bacteria; Bacillati; Actinomycetota; Actinomycetes; Micrococcales; Micrococcaceae
Description: bacterial SSU rRNA
Rfam family: Bacterial small subunit ribosomal RNA
Source: RNAcentral
AACGCUGAAGCUUGGGUGCUUGCAUCUGGGUGGAUGAGUGGCGAACGGGUGAGUAAUACGUGAGUAACCUGCCCUUGACUCUGGGAUAAGCCUGGGAAACUGGGUCUAAUACUGGAUACUACACUCUCUCGCAUGGGGGUGUGUGGAAAGGGUUUUACUGGUUUUGGAUGGGCUCACGGCCUAUCAGCUUGUUGGUGGGGUAAUGGCCUACCAAGGCGACGACGGGUAGCCGGCCUGAGAGGGUGACCGGCCACACUGGGACUGAGACACGGCCCAGACUCCUACGGGAGGCAGCAGUGGGGAAUAUUGCACAAUGGGCGAAAGCCUGAUGCAGCGACGCCGCGUGAGGGAUGACGGCCUUCGGGUUGUAAACCUCUUUCAGCACGGAAGAAGCGAAAGUGACGGUACGUGCAGAAGAAGCGCCGGCUAACUACGUGCCAGCAGCCGCGGUAAUACGUAGGGCGCAAGCGUUGUCCGGAAUUAUUGGGCGUAAAGAGCUCGUAGGCGGUUUGUCGCGUCUGCUGUGAAAGCCCGGGGCUUAACCCCGUGGUGUGCAGUGGGUACGGGCAGACUAGAGUGCAGUAGGGGAGACUGGAAUUCCUGGUGUAGCGGUGAAAUGCGCAGAUAUCAGGAGGAACACCGAUGGCGAAGGCAGGUCUCUGGGCUGUUACUGACGCUGAGGAGCGAAAGCAUGGGGAGCGAACAGGAUUAGAUACCCUGGUAGUCCAUGCCGUAAACGUUGGGCACUAGGUGUGGGGGACAUUCCACGUUUUCCGCGCCGUAGCUAACGCAUUAAGUGCCCC